GCCCGUCUAGCUCAGUCGGUAGAGCGCAACGCUCUUAACCUUGUGGUCGUGGGUUCGAGCCCCACGGUGGGCG
This is a non-coding RNA of Gossypium hirsutum (cotton), 73 nucleotides long. The record is from Rfam. NCBI's taxonomy places the organism in Eukaryota, Viridiplantae, Streptophyta, Magnoliopsida, Malvales, Malvaceae.